CUCAAAAUCUACAUUGAGUCCCCUACGGGACAAAGUACCCAGAUUGAAAAUCCAUCGACUUUCAAUUUUGUUGAGUUCCUUAAAAUUGUCCUCCCCCAUCCAAUUGACAUUCUUUUUGAAAAAGGCCAUAAAACCCAAGAGAGAGGGGUCACUGUUAUGUUCAUCCAAAAAAAAUGUGCUGACAUACUAUGUUUUGAGAACCCCCUCUGAAUGUUUCCCAUGUGCUCCAGUAUGCAGUAUAUUCCAAAAG
Non-coding RNA from Pelobates cultripes (western spadefoot toad), 250 nucleotides. Lineage: Eukaryota; Metazoa; Chordata; Amphibia; Anura; Pelobatidae. The record is from the annotation of a GenBank genome assembly.